RNAcentral lists this ribosomal RNA (265 nucleotides) under uncultured prokaryote. RNAcentral describes it as "partial 16S ribosomal RNA". It matches the Rfam family "Bacterial small subunit ribosomal RNA", at positions 524 to 788 of the family's 1533-position model. The record is from RNAcentral.
UACGGAGGGUGCAAGCGUUAUCCGGAAUCACUGGGCGUAAAGGGCGCGUAGGUGGUCUGUUAAGUCUGGCGUUAAAGCCUGGGGCUCAACCCCAGAUCAGCGUUGGAUACUGGCAGGCUAGACGGUUGGAGAGGCGAGUGGAAUUACCAGUGUAGCGGUGGAAUGCGUAGAUACUGGUAGGAACACCCAUUGCGAAGGCAGCUCGCUGGACAACACGUGACACUGAGGCGCGGAAGUGUGGGGAGCAAACCGGAUUAGAUACCCG